This 263-nucleotide ribosomal RNA is filed under the name uncultured bacterium. Its description in RNAcentral is "partial 16S ribosomal RNA". It matches the Rfam family "Bacterial small subunit ribosomal RNA", at positions 15 to 278 of the family's 1533-position model. The record is from RNAcentral.
GAUCAUGGCUCAGGACGAACGCUGGCGGCGUGCCUAACACAUGCAAGUCGAACGGAGAUAAAGAUUUCGGUUUUUAUCUUAGUGGUGCACGGGUGAGCAACACGUGAAUAACCUGACCCAAAGAGGGGGAUAACACCUGGAAACAGGUGCUAAUACCGCAUAAGACCACAAUGUCGCAUGACGAAGGGGUCAAAGAAAAUCGCUUUGGGAGGGGUUCGCGUCCCAUUAGGUAGUAGGCGGGGUAACGGCCCACCUAGCCGACG